GACGAACACUGGCGGCGUGCCUAAUACAUGCAAGUCGAACGCUUCUUUCCUCCCGAGUGCUUGCACUCAAUUGGAAAGAGGAGUGGCGGACGGGUGAGUAACACGUGGGUAACCUACCCAUCAGAGGGGGAUAACACUUGGAAACAGGUGCUAAUACCGCAUAACAGUUUAUGCCGCAUGGCAUAAGAGUGAAAGGCGCUUUCGGGUGUCGCUGAUGGAUGGACCCGCGGUGCAUUAGCUAGUUGGUGAGGUAACGGCUCACCAAGGCCACGAUGCAUAGCCGACCUGAGAGGGUGAUCGGCCACACUGGGACUGAGACACGGCCCAGACUCCUACGGGAGGCAGCAGUAGGGAAUCUUCGGCAAUGGACGAAAGUCUGACCGAGCAACGCCGCGUGAGUGAAGAAGGUUUUCGGAUCGUAAAACUCUGUUGUUAGAGAAGAACAAGGACGUUAGUAACUGAACGUCCCCUGACGGUAUCUAACCAGAAAGCCACGGCUAACUACGUG
Molecule: ribosomal RNA, 508 nt
Filed under: uncultured bacterium
Lineage: Bacteria
Description: partial 16S ribosomal RNA
Rfam family: Bacterial small subunit ribosomal RNA
Source: RNAcentral